UAAAUGUGCAGUGUUAGAUGCUGAUACGUAUAAUUUAAACUUCAUCUCAUGCGAUGCGUCUCCGGGCUGCCCAACAACAGCAUACAGAGCCUCAGACAUUUAUAAAUAUCAGGCAUGCUUUGAAAACUUUUACAGGGUUGAGACAACGACAUCCAAUAAAGCAUCAAUCACUCUGCAUGUGAAUGGAAACACGCAAG
This is a long non-coding RNA of Saccostrea cuccullata (small rock oyster), 197 nucleotides long. RefSeq lists it as uncharacterized. The record is from RefSeq and is a predicted model, not a curated record. Lineage: Eukaryota; Metazoa; Mollusca; Bivalvia; Ostreida; Ostreidae. The transcript has 3 exons.